This 253-nucleotide ribosomal RNA is filed under the name uncultured bacterium. Its description in RNAcentral is "partial 16S ribosomal RNA". It matches the Rfam family "Bacterial small subunit ribosomal RNA", at positions 524 to 776 of the family's 1533-position model. The record is from RNAcentral.
UACGGGGGGAGCAAGCGUUGUUCGGAUUUACUGGGCGUAAAGGGCGCGUAGGCGGCGUGACAAGUCACUUGUGAAAUCUCCGGGCUUAACUCGGAACGGUCAAGUGAUACUGUCGUGCUAGAGUACAGAAGGGGCAACUGGAAUUCUCGGUGUAGCGGUGGAAUGCGCAGAUAUCAGGUGGAACACCGAUGGCGAAGGCAGUUCUCUGGGCCGUAACUGACGCUGAGGAGCGAAAGCGUGGGGAGCGAACAGG